RNAcentral lists this ribosomal RNA (497 nucleotides) under uncultured bacterium. RNAcentral describes it as "partial 16S ribosomal RNA". It matches the Rfam family "Bacterial small subunit ribosomal RNA", at positions 28 to 507 of the family's 1533-position model. The record is from RNAcentral.
GAUGAACGCUGGCGGCGUGCCUAAUACAUGCAAGUCGAGCGAACAGACGAGGAGCUUGCUCCUCUGACGUUAGCGGCGGACGGGUGAGUAACACGUGGAUAACCUACCUAUAAGACUGGGAUAACUUCGGGAAACCGGAGCUAAUACCGGAUAAUAUAUUGAACCGCAUGGUUCAAUAGUGAAAGACGGUUUUGCUGUCACUUAUAGAUGGAUCCGCGCCGCAUUAGCUAGUUGGUAAGGUAACGGCUUACCAAGGCAACGAUGCGUAGCCGACCUGAGAGGGUGAUCGGCCACACUGGAACUGAGACACGGUCCAGACUCCUACGGGAGGCAGCAGUAGGGAAUCUUCCGCAAUGGGCGAAAGCCUGACGCAGCCACGCCGCGUGAGUGAUGAAGGUCUUCGGAUUGUAAAGCACUUUUAGUUGGGAGGAAGAGAAGUGAGUGUAUACCUGGCUGUCUUGACGGUACCAACAGAAAAAGCACCGGCUAACUACGUG